AUUGAACGCUGGCGGCAUGCUUUACACAUGCAAGUCGAACGGCAGCACGGGUGCUUGCACCUGGUGGCGAGUGGCGGACGGGUGAGUAAUACAUCGGAACGUAUCCUAAAGUGGGGGAUAACGCAUCGAAAGAUGUGCUAAUACCGCAUACACUCUGAGGAGGAAAGUAGGGGAUCGAAAGACCUUAUGCUUUUGGAGCGGCCGAUGUCUGAUUAGCUAGUUGGUAAGGUAAUGGCUUACCAAGGCAACGAUCAGUAGUUGGUCUGAGAGGACGACCAGCCACACUGGGACUGAGACACGGCCCAGACUCCUACGGGAGGCUG
This 323-nucleotide ribosomal RNA is filed under the name uncultured Pseudomonadota bacterium. RNAcentral describes it as "bacterial SSU rRNA". It matches the Rfam family "Bacterial small subunit ribosomal RNA", at positions 30 to 351 of the family's 1533-position model. The record is from RNAcentral. Lineage: Bacteria; Pseudomonadati; Pseudomonadota.